CGCCCAGAUGGUGGCGGAGGCGGCUGAGCGGGCGGGGAUCGGAGUCCGGAGGGCCCAGGUCUGAGCGACCAGUCCAGUUCGCGGGCCGGCUGGCUUCACCGUCGGGACGCCGGGAUUCGGAGGGGCUCGGAGAGGCCGGGGGCUUCACCGGCAUAUAAGGAAGCUGAGGCACAGAGCAGUGACAGCACAGCCAGGAUCACGUGGGUAGUCUAUGAGGGAGCUGACUCCAAAUCCAGGCAGUGUGGAUCCCAUUCCUGCGCUCCUACUUACCUUGCUGCGGAGACAUUCUCCUUUUGUCAUCGCUGCUCCUCUGACUUCAAACAUAGUGUGUACCCUGCAAUGGAAAGAGAUUAGAAAUCAAGAGCGAAAGAAAAAAUGGAAAACUCACAAGUAUGUGGAAAUUAUACAACACACUCUUUUCUUUUUCUUUUUUUUAAAGAUUUUAUUUAUUCAUAAGAGACCCAGAGAGAGAGAGAGAGAGAGAGAAAGAGGCAGAGACACCACUGCAGAGGGAGAAGCAGGCUCCAUGCAGGAAGCCGGAUGUGGGACUCGAUCCUGAGUCUCCAGGAUCAGGCCCCGGGCUGAAGGCAGGCGCUAAACCGCUGAACCACCCAGGAUCCCUAUACAACACACUCUUAAGCAACCAGUGAGUCAAGGAAGAAAUCACGAGGGAAGUUAGCAAAUAUCUUGGAAACAAAUGAAAGCGAAAACACAACGUCCCAAAAUCUCAGGGAUGCAGCACAAGCCGGACUAAGAGGGAAGUUUAUAGCAGUAAAAUGCUUGCGUUAAAAAAGAAAGAUCUGAAAGCAAAAGUAAAAAUUCAAGCAUUGCAUAACUUUAUGCUAUAGAAAGCAAAAGUUUAAGAAAUGAAAGUCCUCCCUUGGUGCUCCUCCCUACAGAUAACCUCUGUUUACCAGUGCAGUAGGGAUGCUUUAGAUCAUCUUUUUUUCCAAGCUUGCAAGAAUACUAUCUGAAAAAAAAAAGCAAAAAUGAAAUAAUACAAUACACAUUGUUUCAUCA
Long non-coding RNA from Canis lupus familiaris (dog), 1020 nucleotides. RefSeq lists it as uncharacterized. NCBI's taxonomy places the organism in Eukaryota, Metazoa, Chordata, Mammalia, Carnivora, Canidae. The transcript is spliced from 2 exons. The record is from RefSeq and is a predicted model, not a curated record.